GGUUAAGUGACUAAGCGUACAGGGCGGAUGCCUUGGCAAUCAGAGGCGAUGAAGGACGUGCUAAUCUGCGAAAAGCUUGGAUGAGUCGAUAAGAGGCGUUUAAUCCAAGAUGUCCGAAUGGGGAAACCCAGUAGAUGAAGAAUCUACUAUCAAUAAAUGAAUACAUAGUUUAUUGAGGCGAACCGGGAGAACUGAAACAUCUAAGUACCCCGAGGAAAAGAAAUCAACCGAGAUUCUGUGAGUAGCGGCGAGCGAAAGCGGAAGAGCCAGUAAGUUUUAGCUAGCGUAUUAGAGGAAUUGGCUGGGAAGCCAAAUCAAAGAGGGUGAUAAUCCCGUACUCGAAAGUAUGGUAGUGGAACUAAGCUUACGAUAAGUAAGGCGGGACACGAGAAAUCCUGUUUGAAGAUGGGGGGACCAUCCUCCAAGGCUAAAUACUCCUGAUUGACCGAUAGUGAACCAGUACUGUGAAGGAAAGGCGAAAAGAACCCCGGUGAGGGGAGUGAAAUAGAACCUGAAACCCUGUACGUACAAGCAGUAGGAGCGAGGGCAACCUUGUGACUGCGUACCUUUUGUAUAAUGGGUCAGCGACUUAUAUUUUGUAGCGAGGUUAACUGAAUAAGGGAGCCGAAGGGAAACCGAGUCUUAACUGGGCGUUGAGUUGCAAGGUAUAGACCCGAAACCCGGUGAUCUAGCCAUGGGCAGGUUGAAGGUUGGGUAACACUAACUGGAGGACCGAACCGACUAAUGUUGAAAAAUUAGCGGAUGACUUGUGGCUGGGGGUGAAAGGCCAAUCAAACCGGGAGAUAGCUGGUUCUCCCCGAAAUCUAUUUAGGUAGAGCCUUGAGCGGACACCUUCGGGGGUAGAGCACUGUUUCGGCUAGGGGUCCAUCCCGGAUUACCAACCCGAUGCAAACUGCGAAUACCGAAGAGUGAUACUCAGGAGACACACGGCGGGUGCUAACGUUCGUCGUGGAGAGGGAAACAACCCAGACCGCCAGCUAAGGUCCCGAAGUCUAUAUUAAGUGGGAAACGAAGUGGGAAGGCUUAGACAGCUAGGAUGUUGGCUUAGAAGCAGCCAUCAUUUAAAGAAAGCGUAAUAGCUCACUAGUCGAGUCGGCCUGCGCGGAAGAUGUAACGGGGCUCAAAUAUAGCACCGAAGCUGCGGCAUCAGAAUUUAUUCUGUUGGGUAGGGGAGCGUUGUGUAAGCGGAUGAAGGUGGCUCGAGAGGGUUGCUGGACGUAUCACAAGUGCGAAUGCUGACAUAAGUAACGAUAAAACGAGUGAAAAACUCGUUCGCCGGAAGACCAAGGGUUCCUGUCCAACGUUAAUCGGGGCAGGGUGAGUCGGCCCCUAAGGCGAGGCUGAAAAGCGUAGUCGAUGGGAAACGGGUUAAUAUUCCCGUACUUGGUAAAGCUGCGAUGUGGGGACGGAGAAGGUUAGGUAAGCGGACUGUUGGAUAUGUUCGUUUAAGCAGGUAGUUGGAAAGGGUAGGCAAAUCCGCUCUUUCAUACAACAACGAGACGUGAUGACGAGGCUCUACGGAGCUGAAGUUACCGAUACCCAGCUUCCAGGAAAAGCCACUAAGCGAAAGGCUUUACUAAACCGUACUGAAAACCGACACAGGUGGUCAGGUAGAGAAUACUCAGGCGCUUGAGAGAACUCGGGUGAAGGAACUAGGCAAAAUAGCACCGUAACUUCGGGAGAAGGUGCGCUUACAGUAAUUGUAGUCCCUUGCGGAUGAAGGUGAAGUAAGUCGAAGAUACCAGCUGGCUGCAACUGUUUAUUAAAAACACAGCACUCUGCAAACACGAAAGUGGACGUAUAGGGUGUGAUGCCUGCCCGGUGCUGGAAGGUUAAUUGAUGGUGUUAUCGAAAGAGAAGCUCCUGAUCGAAGCCCCAGUAAACGGCGGCCGUAACUAUAACGGUCCUAAGGUAGCGAAAUUCCUUGUCGGGUAAGUUCCGACCUGCACGAAUGGCAUAAUGAUGGCCAGGCUGUCUCCACCCGAGACUCAGUGAAAUUGAAAUCGCCGUGAAGAUGCGGUGUACCCGCGGCUAGACGGAAAGACCCCGUGAACCUUUACUAUAGCUUGACACUGAACAUUGAAUUUUGAUGUGUAGGAUAGGUGGGAGCCUUUGAAGCAGUGACGCCAGUCAUUGUGGAGGCGACCUUGAAAUACCACCCUUUAACGUUUGAUGUUCUAACGAAGUGCCUGAAACGGGUACUCGGACAGUGUCUGGUGGGUAGUUUGACUGGGGCGGUCUCCUCCCAAAGCGUAACGGAGGAGCACGAAGGUUUGCUAAUGACGGUCGGACAUCGUCAGGUUAGUGCAAUGGUAUAAGCAAGCUUAACUGCGAGACGGACAAGUCGAGCAGGUGCGAAAGCAGGUCAUAGUGAUCCGGUGGUUCUGAAUGGAAGGGCCAUCGCUCAACGGAUAAAAGGUACUCCGGGGAUAACAGGCUGAUACCGCCCAAGAGUUCAUAUCGACGGCGGUGUUUGGCACCUCGAUGUCGGCUCAUCACAUCCUGGGGCUGAAGUAGGUCCCAAGGGUAUGGCUGUUCGCCAUUUAAAGUGGUACGCGAGCUGGGUUUAGAACGUCGUGAGACAGUUCGGUCCCUAUCUGCCGUGGGCGUUGGAUGAUUGAUUGGGGCUGCUCCUAGUACGAGAGGACCGGAGUGGACGCAUCACUGGUGUUCCAGUUGUCUCGCCAGAGGCAUUGCUGGGUAGCUAAAUGCGGAAGAGAUAAGUGCUGAAAGCAUCUAAGCACGAAACUUGCCAAGAGAUGAGUCAUCCCUGACUUUAAGUCAGUAAGGGUUGUUGUAGACGACGACGUAGAUAGGUUGGGUGUGUAAGUGUAGUGAUACAUUGAGCUAACCAAUACUAAUUGCCCGAGAGGCUUAACCAU
This 2903-nucleotide ribosomal RNA is filed under the name Pasteurella multocida. Its description in RNAcentral is "23S ribosomal RNA". It matches the Rfam family "Bacterial large subunit ribosomal RNA". Lineage: Bacteria; Pseudomonadati; Pseudomonadota; Gammaproteobacteria; Pasteurellales; Pasteurellaceae. The record is from RNAcentral.